RNAcentral lists this ribosomal RNA (484 nucleotides) under uncultured bacterium. RNAcentral's name for it is "partial 16S ribosomal RNA". It matches the Rfam family "Bacterial small subunit ribosomal RNA", at positions 30 to 507 of the family's 1533-position model. The record is from RNAcentral.
AUUGAACGCUGGCGGCAGGCCUAACACAUGCAAGUCGAGCGGAUGAAGGGAGCUUGCUCCUGGAUUCAGCGGCGGACGGGUGAGUAAUGCCUAGGAAUCUGCCUGGUAGUGGGGGAUAACGUCCGGAAACGGGCGCUAAUACCGCAUACGUCCUGAGGGAGAAAGUGGGGGAUCUUCGGACCUCACGCUAUCAGAUGAGCCUAGGUCGGAUUAGCUAGUUGGUGGGGUAAAGGCCUACCAAGGCGACGAUCCGUAACUGGUCUGAGAGGAUGAUCAGUCACACUGGAACUGAGACACGGUCCAGACUCCUACGGGAGGCAGCAGUGGGGAAUAUUGGACAAUGGGCGAGAGCCUGAUCCAGCCAUGCCGCGUGUGUGAAGAAGGUCUUCGGAUUGUAAAGCACUUUAAGUUGGGAGGAAGGGCAGUAAGUUAAUACCUAGCUGUUUUGACGUUACCAACAGAAGAAGCACCGGCUAACUUCGUG